RNAcentral lists this ribosomal RNA (468 nucleotides) under uncultured bacterium. Its description in RNAcentral is "partial 16S ribosomal RNA". It matches the Rfam family "Bacterial small subunit ribosomal RNA", at positions 28 to 507 of the family's 1533-position model. The record is from RNAcentral.
GACGAACGCUGGCGGCGUGCUUAACACAUGCAAGUCGAACGGAAAGGCCCUGCUUUUGUGGGGUGCUCGAGUGGCGAACGGGUGAGUAACACGUGAGUAACCUGCCCUUGACUUUGGGAUAACUUCAGGAAACUGGGGCUAAUACCGGAUAGGAGCUCCUGCUGCAUGGUGGGGGUUGGAAAGUUUCGGCGGUGGGGGCGGGACUCGCGGCUUAUCAGCUUGUUGGUGGGGUAGUGGCUUACCAAGGCUUUGAGGGGUAGCCGGCCUGAGAGGGUGACCGGCCACAUUGGGACUGAGAUACGGCCCAGACUCCUACGGGAGGCAGCAGUGGGGAAUAUUGCACAAUGGGCGGAAGCCUGAUGCAGCAACGCCGCGUGCGGGAUGACGGCCUUCGGGUUGUAAACCGCUUUCGCCUGUGACGAAGCGUGAGUGACGGUAAUGGGUAAAGAAGCACCGGCUAACUACGUG